GACGAACGCUGGCGGCGUGCUUAACACAUGCAAGUCGAACGGAAAGGCCUGCUUUCCCUUGUGGAUUGCGGGUACUCGAGUGGCGAACGGGUGAGUAACACGUGAGUGAUCUGCCCCCAACUUGGGUAUAAGCCUGGGAAACUGGGUCUAAUUCCCGAUAGGACUGCAGGGUGGUGCCUGUGGUGGAAAACGAUUUUCUAGUGGUUGGGGAUGAGCUCGCGGCCUAUCAGCUUGUUGGUGGGGUAAUGGCCUACCAAGGCGGCGACGGGUAGCCGGCCUGAAAGGGUGGACGGCCACAUUGGGACUGGGAUACGGCCCAGACUCCUACGGGAGGCAGCAGUGGGGAAUAUUACACAAUGGGCGGAAGCCUGAUGCAGCGACGCCGCGUGGGGGAUGACGGCCUUCGGGUUGUAAACUCCUUUCGACCGCGAGGAAGCCACCUGGUUGGAAGGGUGGUGACGGUAGUGGUAGAAGAAGCACCGGCUAACUACGUG
Molecule: ribosomal RNA, 494 nt
Filed under: uncultured bacterium
Lineage: Bacteria
Description: partial 16S ribosomal RNA
Rfam family: Bacterial small subunit ribosomal RNA
Source: RNAcentral